AGAACCUAAGAGUUCCAAUGACUAGAAGUCAAAGACCUACAGGAAAUCCUAGAAGAUCACAAACCAUAGUCAACUCAAACAAUACAAUGAGGCCAGAAGUCCCACCUUGAGCCUUGCAGAGAUCUCGGGAGGAAUGAAGUGGAUGGACACAUGUGAGCAUCCAGUAUAUGCAAAGACACUUCAGCAAGCAAACCCAGGACCCUCCCAGAUGAAACAACUGAAGAGUAGAAUUAUGAAAGAAGAGUCUGCCCAAAGCACACAGUUGACGGGAGGAAGCUAGGAUUCGUCACUGGCUUUUCCAAGUUCAAAACUCCUCCUUAAAAUAAAAGCAAG
Tupaia belangeri chinensis (Chinese tree shrew) is the source of this 333-nucleotide long non-coding RNA. RefSeq lists it as uncharacterized. NCBI's taxonomy places the organism in Eukaryota, Metazoa, Chordata, Mammalia, Scandentia, Tupaiidae. The transcript is spliced from 3 exons. The record is from RefSeq and is a predicted model, not a curated record.